Molecule: ribosomal RNA, 253 nt
Filed under: uncultured bacterium
Lineage: Bacteria
Description: partial 16S ribosomal RNA
Rfam family: Bacterial small subunit ribosomal RNA
Source: RNAcentral
UACGUAGGUGGCAAGCGUUGUCCGGAAUUACUGGGUGUAAAGGGAGCGUAGGCGGGAAGCCAAGUCAGCUGUGAAAACUACGGGCUUAACCUGUAGACUGCAGUUGAAACUGCUUAGCUUGAGUGAAGUGGAGGUAGGCGGAAUUCCCGGUGUAGCGGUGAAAUGCGUAGAGAUCGGGAGGAACACCAGUGGCGAAGGCGGCCUACUGGGCACCAACUGACGCUGAGGCUCGAAAGUGUGGGUAGCAAACAGG